Molecule: ribosomal RNA, 684 nt
Filed under: marine metagenome
Also listed under: 1 other name
Description: bacterial SSU rRNA
Rfam family: Archaeal small subunit ribosomal RNA
Source: RNAcentral
GUCCUAGGUGUAAACGCUGUGAACUUGGUGUCGGGAGUCCGCAAUGGGCCCCCGGUGCCGGAGUGAAGAUGUUAAGUUCACUGCCUGGGGAGUACGGUCGCAAGGCUGAAACUUAAAGGAAUUGGCGGGGGAGCACUGCAACGGGAGGAGCGUGCGGUUUAAUUGGAUUCAACGCCGGAAAACUCACCAGGGCCGACUGUUAUAUGAAGACCAGCGUAAUGAGCUUGUCGGAUUUUCAGAGAGGUGGUGCAUGGCCGUCGUCAGUUCGUACUGUAAAGCGUUCUGUUAAGUCAGAUAACGAACGAGACCCUCAUCUCUAUUUGCUACCUGUCUCUCCGGAGGCGGCGCACUAUAGGGAGACCGCUGGUGUUAAACCAGAGGAAGGCGAGGGCAACGACAGGUCAGUAUGCCCCGAAUGUCCUGGGCUACACGCGCGCUACAAAGGACGGGACAAUGGGAAGCCAGGCCGAGAGGCCGAGCUAACCCGAAACCCGUUCAUAGUUCGGAUUGUGGGCUGUAACUCGCCCACAUGAAGCUGGAUUGCGUAGUAAUCGUGUUUCAACAUAGCACGGUGAAUAUGCCCCUGCUCCUUGCACACACCGCCCGUCAAACCAUCUUAGUUGGGGGUGGGUGAGGCUGCGCUUUAUGGCGUAUUCGAGCCUGCCUUCGACAAGGAGGGUUAAG